UCCUAUGGUAUGAGCGCCCUUCAAAGGCAU
This 30-nucleotide non-coding RNA is filed under the name Rattus norvegicus (Norway rat). The record is from RNAcentral. Lineage: Eukaryota; Metazoa; Chordata; Mammalia; Rodentia; Muridae.